Molecule: ribosomal RNA, 484 nt
Filed under: uncultured bacterium
Lineage: Bacteria
Description: partial 16S ribosomal RNA
Rfam family: Bacterial small subunit ribosomal RNA
Source: RNAcentral
AUUGAACGCUGGCGGCAUGCUUUACACAUGCAAGUCGAACGGCAGCACGGGCUUCGGCCUGGUGGCGAGUGGCGAACGGGUGAGUAAUAUAUCGGAACGUACCCAGAAGUGGGGGAUAACGUAGCGAAAGUUACGCUAAUACCGCAUACGAUCUAUGGAUGAAAGCAGGGGACCGCAAGGCCUUGUGCUCCUGGAUCGGCCGAUAUCUGAUUAGCUAGUUGGUGAGGUAAAGGCUCACCAAGGCGACGAUCAGUAGCUGGUCUGAGAGGACGACCAGCCACACUGGAACUGAGACACGGUCCAGACUCCUACGGGAGGCAGCAGUGGGGAAUUUUGGACAAUGGGCGCAAGCCUGAUCCAGCAAUGCCGCGUGAGUGAAGAAGGCCUUCGGGUUGUAAAGCUCUUUUGUCAGGGAAGAAACGGUAGAGGCUAAUAUCCUUUGCUAAUGACGGUACCUGAAGAAUAAGCACCGGCUAACUACGUG